This 1044-nucleotide long non-coding RNA is filed under the name Rhinopithecus bieti (black snub-nosed monkey). RNAcentral's name for it is "lncRNA (ENSRBIG00000045685.1)". The record is from RNAcentral. Lineage: Eukaryota; Metazoa; Chordata; Mammalia; Primates; Cercopithecidae.
GUUAGGUUGGGGCUGGGAAUUCUGGGAUAGAUGGUUAGGAUGUGAGUGGGAAUUCUGGGGUAGAUGGUUAGGUUGGGGCUGGGAAUUCUGGGAUAGGUGGUUAGGAUGGUUUUGGGAAUUCUGGGAUAGGUGGUUAGGAUGGGGCUGGGAAUUCUGGGAUAGAUGGUUAGGAUGAGCCUGAGAGUUCUGGGGUAGAAUUUUGGGUGACACUGAGAAUCUGAGCCAGGCCAGAAGGCACAGCGUAAGCGUCACUAGUCAGGCCCCGCCUCCUCUGUCCUUUGAGGAGACCAAGACUCCAGUUGUCUCUGCUGAUCUGCAACCUGGGGGAAACUGAGGCACGGAUCUGAGACCUGGCUGUUGAGUUUGGGGUGUGUGGGUCCAGGGCGGCAUCCAGCUGACCCAUCGGCUUCCCGCAGGAUGCCCUGCACACGUUCCCACAGCUGCAAGUGGAGCAGAGUGAGGAGGGCUCCCCGGAAGAGGGGGCUGUGCGGCUGCGGCCAGCCGGGGAACCGUACAACCGCAAGACGCUCAGCAAGCUCAAGAGGAGCGUGGUCAGAGCCCAGGAGUUCAAGGUCGAGCUGGAAAAGUCGGGAUACUAUACGCUCUACCAUUCACUCCACCACUAUAAAUACCACACCUUCCUGCGCUGCCGGGACCAGACCCUGGCCAUCGAGGGCGGCGCCGAGGACCUGGGCCAGGAGGAAGUGGUCCAGCAGUGCAUGCGGAACCAGCCGUGGCUGGAACAGCUCUUUGAUUCCUUCAGUGACCUGCUGGCCCAAGCACAGGCCCACAGCCGCUGUGGGUGACCCCGCCCCAGCCUGUGAUGGGGGCGCCUCCUCCAUGAACCAAGAAUUGGGACAGAACCGUGUCCUCAGGAGCUAACCCCUGGGCUCCAUCGCCGGGGAAAGGGGGUCAUGGGUCAGGGUGUGUCUAUGCUGCCCUCUCCAGGGCAGGGUUCAGAGUCCGACUCCCCCCCUCUCCCGAGCCCCCUCCACUCCCUCCCCAUUCCUCCCACUGUUCGGUGUACAGAGAAAUUAUUUAUAU